This is an unclassified non-coding RNA of Macaca fascicularis (crab-eating macaque), 148 nucleotides long. It matches the Rfam family "Metazoan signal recognition particle RNA". Rfam says of the family: The signal recognition particle (SRP) is a universally conserved ribonucleoprotein. The record is from Ensembl. Lineage: Eukaryota; Metazoa; Chordata; Mammalia; Primates; Cercopithecidae.
GCCGGGCGUGGUGGCACACGCCUGUAAUCCCAGCUACUCAGGAGGCUGAGGCAGGAGAAUUGCUUGAACCUGGGAGACAGGGGUUGCAGUGAGCCAAGAUCGUGCCACUGCACUCCAGCCUAGGUGACAGAGUGAGACUCUGUCUCCA